GGAAACUCCUGACCUCAUCUGAUCUUGGAAGCUAAGC
Molecule: ribosomal RNA, 37 nt
Filed under: Castor canadensis (American beaver)
Lineage: Eukaryota; Metazoa; Chordata; Mammalia; Rodentia; Castoridae
Source: RNAcentral